Molecule: ribosomal RNA, 433 nt
Filed under: uncultured bacterium
Lineage: Bacteria
Description: bacterial SSU rRNA
Rfam family: Bacterial small subunit ribosomal RNA
Source: RNAcentral
GGGCCCGCACAAGCGGUGGAACAUGUGGUUUAAUUCGAUGCAACGCGAAGAACCUUACCUGGGCUUGACAUCUGGGAAAUCUUCUGGAAACAGUUGAGUGCCUUCGGGAAUCCCAAGACAGGUGGUGCACGGUUGUCGUCAGCUCGUGUCGUGAGAUGUUGGGUUAAGUCCCGCAACGAGCGCAACCCUCGUUGUCUGUUACUACAGAUCGUAAGAUGCUGAGUACUCAGGCGAGACUGCCGGUGAUAAACCGGAGGAAGGUGGGGAUGACGUCAAAUCAUCACGCCCCUUAUGUCCAGGGCUACACACGUGUUACAAUGGGAAGAGGACAAUGAGUAGCUUGACAGCGAUGUCCGGCAAAUCUCCAAACCUCCCCUCAGUUCGGAUCGGAGUCUGCAACUCGACUCCGUGAAGUAGGAAUCGCUAGUAAACG